AGUAUAACAUACGCAUAGGCCUGCCUUGCUAGCAGUAUAUGCACAGAGCUUGGUGAUCAGAAACGAAACUCAAUAUAUAUAAAGCUUAAAAAAGCCCACUCAAUGCCAGGAGCUGAUAAUGGGAAAAGCACACACACACACACACACACACACACACACACACACACACACACACACACACACACAUCAAUAAAAAAAAAAUCAAUAACUAAAAUAAUAAUGAACAAUAAUAUAUGUAAGUAUAUGUCAGGAUAAGUAAAUGCACCUAAAAUCAAACUUCCUG
This is a non-coding RNA of Pelobates cultripes (western spadefoot toad), 283 nucleotides long. Lineage: Eukaryota; Metazoa; Chordata; Amphibia; Anura; Pelobatidae. The record is from the annotation of a GenBank genome assembly.